Molecule: long non-coding RNA, 765 nt
Filed under: Homo sapiens (human)
Lineage: Eukaryota; Metazoa; Chordata; Mammalia; Primates; Hominidae
Description: non-protein coding lnc-C2orf40-16:1
Source: RNAcentral
GAGUUAAAGCGCGCGGGUGCCAGCCGGGAGGUGCGGCUGGAUUCGUUUCGCUGAGGUGCGUCCCCAACCCAAGGGCACGACUGCAGUGGCCAGUUUCCGAGCCCCGCCCGGAGGGGGGCACGCGGUGGGCAUUCCGGUGUUGCAGUGAAACGAAACUUAUUUGCUAAACUUGGCCGAGCCUUAGAAGUUGAAUGCCUGCCUCAGAAAGUUGCCUCGUUCUCUGGGCUGUUUAGUUGGCUUUUUUUAGUUAGAAUAUCGGCAGCGAAAAUGAUAAAUCCCCUAAACCUUGCCGAAGUAAAAACUGGCUGCGUUUUUUUUCCUUGGCUAUGAUCAACUGGGGUGCCUUUGUUUUAAUAAUAGUCUUUUAUUAUUAUUUUAAAAAGCAGUGCUAAGUAUAUUAAUUUAGGAUAGACUUGGAAAAGAAAAGAUGAAAUUGCGCUGUCUCUGCCUAGAGAAAAACCCUGACCAUGUUGUCGUGUGUGUUUCAUUCAAUCUUUUUGUUGAGUAUAUCUGUUUUAUGAGUGCUGUACUGAUUGCAUAGGAGGUACCUGUGUUUAAAAAGCAUUUACUGAAUGAUGAUUACAAGCAAGGAGAUGUAUCAGAAGAUCCACAGAUAAUCGGAAGCUUGUCAUUGGAUCUGGAGAGAGCUGGUCCCAUGGAGGAAAAAAAGACAGGUACACACAGAUGUGUGUGAUGCCACAUUAAGAGAGAUCCCGGAUUUGGGAUCUGCAGGCUUCAAGAGGUCAUCUUCAGCUAUACGGAGAA